GGCCUCCUACGGGGCGCAGCAGUGAGGAAUAUUGGUCAAUGGCCGCAGGGCUGAACCAGCCAAGUCGCGUGAGGGAUGACGGUCCUAUGGAUUGUAAACCUCUUUUGUCAGGGAGCAAAGGGCGCCACGUGUGGCGCUUUGCGAGUACCUGAAGAGAAAGCAUCGGCUAACUCCGUGCCAGCAGCCGCGGUAAUACGGAGGAUGCGAGCGUUAUCCGGAUUUAUUGGGUUUAAAGGGUGCGCAGGCGGAAUGUCA
Molecule: ribosomal RNA, 255 nt
Filed under: uncultured bacterium
Lineage: Bacteria
Description: partial 16S ribosomal RNA
Rfam family: Bacterial small subunit ribosomal RNA
Source: RNAcentral